This is a long non-coding RNA of Monopterus albus (swamp eel), 1382 nucleotides long. RefSeq lists it as uncharacterized. The record is from RefSeq and is a predicted model, not a curated record. The transcript is spliced from 4 exons. Lineage: Eukaryota; Metazoa; Chordata; Actinopteri; Synbranchiformes; Synbranchidae.
UGUUUUUGACCACCGUGUAUUGCCUAUGCCCUUCCAGUGUGUGAUUGCCUGCAGUGUACUGACCUUCUGAGCUAUUCCCCUGAACCUCUCGAGUUUGGAUCUCCUGGCUAUACCUGUUUACCGGUGCUGACUCUGGACUGUCUUAUCGACCUGAUUGUUUAACCUGGACUGUGUAUUGGUUGCCUAGUUAUUACAAGUGCAGCUAUGAACCCAGUCGCCUCUAGCACAAUGAGGACUUCCUCAGCUUACUCAUCAUACACUCCUGCUAGUGAACUUGGUCAUAGCCUGCGGCCCAUGCAGAAGUCAGCGCAGGUAGACAGUCAGAGGCUACAGGGGCUGAUUGACGGAAACAAGAGGUGGCUGGAGUUGCGCAAGAAGGAUACCAGCGUACCUCUGUUCACUUGCUAUCAGUCCUCAUCCUCCAAGAGCAGCCAGAUCAGAGUCUAUCAUUACUGAGGACAUGAUGCACAGUUCAGCUCUGUUGUACACUGACUGCCACUGAGGACUUUGAGCAUUUUUAAUGACUGUGACAGGGCAGUGUUGUGAUGUUUACACACAGGGCAUUCCUUUUUAAAACCUUCAGUGCAAAGGUUUUCAGGGAAAACAGGGCCUCUUCUGCAGUGAUUGGAUGAAGAGCUAACUGCAGGUGAUUUGGCAGUUCAGGGAGCCACGUCACAGAGGGCUGAGGACUUUUAACCUCCAACAUUAGAUAUGGCUGUGAGACUUUUUAAAGCACCUCAUUGUCAGCUACAGGAGGGAGCACUGGGAGCACUAGGAAUACUGGAGUAGAGCCACUUCAGGCUGAUACUGACUCCAGACACUGAACUAGUGUUUUACAAGAACAGAGUCUCAGAGUGAAAGCAACUUUCAGGGAACAGGGUGUGACUAAGCUCCUGUCUGAUCCCACAAUGUUAUUCCUUUCUCCUAGCGUCCAUUACUGCUAAUUUUCAGAAUCAUUUAAUCAGUAUCUGGUAUUUCCCAGACUUGGACUUCUAUUUUAUGGCCUAACAAAUUUAAAGUAAAAACAAUUUUGAAUAUCUGCAUUAUUGAAUUAUGGCACAACAGAAACUGAAAAGAUCUGACCACAGAUGUAUGAAUGGCCUCAAAUUAAAAUUAGACAUAAUCUUGGAUUCUCAAUUUUUAUUUUGGAGAGGAGAGAGUACAGAGGGGAAGAGAGAGGUUUUGCAUUCAGUACAUGUAAUGUACAGAUCAAAUCAUGGCAGUUUUUUAAGUAAAUUCAACUUAUCUGGGCUUACAGUGUAGAGACAGACAACCAUAUGCACUCACACUCAUUCCUGUGGGCAAUGUAGAGUCGCCAAUCAACCUAAGCUGUAUUUCUUUUAACUGGGAGGAAGCCGGAGUACCCGGAGGGAACCCACACA